UUGAACGCUGGCGGAAUGCUUUACACAUGCAAGUCGAACGGCAGCACGGACUUCGGUCUGGUGGCGAGUGGCGAACGGGUGAGUAACAUAUCGGAACGUAUCCAAUAAUGGGGGAUAACUAAUCGAAAGGUUGGCUAAUACCGCAUACGCCCUACGGGGGAAAGCUAGGGACCUUCGGGCCUGGCGUUAAUGGAGCGGCCGAUAUCUGAUUAGCUAGUUGGUGGGGUAAAGGCCCACCAAGGCGGCGAUCAGUAGCUGGUCUGAGAGGACGACCAGCCACACCGGAAGUGAGACACGGUCCAGACUCCUACGGGAGGCAGCAGUGGGGAAUUUUGGACAAUGGGCGAAAGCCUGAUCCAGCCAUUCCGCGUGAGUGAAGAAGGCCUUCGGGUUGUAAAGCUCUUUCGCAAGGGAAGAAAACUUAUCCUCUAACAUAGGAUGAGGUUGACGGUACCUUGAUAAGAAGCACCGGCUAACUACGUGCCAGCAGCCGCGGUAAGACGUAGGUUGCAAGCGUUAUCCGGAAUUAUUGGGCGUAAAGAGUUCGUAGGUGGUUUGUUAAGUUGGAUGUUAAAGCCCAGGGCCCAACCCUGGACUGGUGUUCAAAACUGGCAAACUAGAGACAAGUAGAGGCAAGUAGAAUUCUGCAUGUAGGGGUAAUAUCCGUAGAUAUGCAGAGGAAUACCAAAAGCGAAGGCAGCUUGCUGGACUUGUUCCGACACUCAAGAACGAAAGCGUGGGGAGCAAACGGGAUUAGAUACCCCGGUAGUCCACGCCCUAAACGAUGAUCACUAGGUGUUG
Molecule: ribosomal RNA, 801 nt
Filed under: uncultured bacterium
Lineage: Bacteria
Description: bacterial SSU rRNA
Rfam family: Bacterial small subunit ribosomal RNA
Source: RNAcentral